UACAGAGGGGGCAAGCGUUAUUCGGAAUUAUUGGGCGUAAAGGGCGCGUAGGCGGCUUUGCAAGUGACGGGUGAAAUCCCUCGGCUUAACCGAGGAACUGCCUGUCAGACUGCAUGGCUUGAGACCAGGAGAGGUGAGUGGAAUUCCCAGUGUAGCGGUGAAAUGCGUAGAUAUCAGGAAGAACACCAAUGGCGAAAGCAGCUCUCUGGGACGGUACUGACGCUGAGACGCGAAAGCGUGGGGAGCGAACAGG
This 253-nucleotide ribosomal RNA is filed under the name uncultured bacterium. RNAcentral describes it as "partial 16S ribosomal RNA". It matches the Rfam family "Bacterial small subunit ribosomal RNA", at positions 524 to 776 of the family's 1533-position model. The record is from RNAcentral.